UGGGUGCAAAAUUUGGACACAGGGCUUGCCAUCUGUCCCUGUCACAGUAAAAUGUGCCUCUGCCUCCUACCCCUGUCCCCAUCCUCUGCUCUGGGCUGACAGUUUUUGAUCCUAAAUCAAAGCUGUUCGGAAGAAAAGUUAUCAGUAGAUACCCAGGAAAGGAUUUAGAAUCCUAAAACCUGAGGACUGGAAAUUGCCUCAAAGAUCAUCUAGUCUAGCCUCAUUUAUUAGAAGAGCAAUGUGAGGUGAGGUGACUCGUCCAGUGUCACACAGCUAGCUUCCUGUUUGUGUCUCAUUCCCUUGUUUCUUGCUGCUUCCAGUGGCUACUGAGAAAUCCAAAAUCCAGCUUCCAGGUGGGUAACUCCAGCAGAGGCUGGAAUACACUAGCUGCCUCUGGGGCUCCACCACUGAAGGAGCUGAGAAAUGGAAAAAUGAAGGUCCCCGUCUCAUAGGUCCAGUGCGAUUGAAUAACUUCUCUCACUUAGAACAGUGCUUGGCAUGUGGGGAGAGCUCAGGAAGAGUAUCCAUUGCUGCUAUUAAUCUCCCUUGACUGUUGCCAGAAGGCAAGUGAUACAUGGAAAGAGCUCUGAACUAGUAGAAGUUAAGAAAUUUCUAGUUCCCGCCAUGUGACUUGUGAUAAGUCAUUCACCUCAAAUCCUCAGUUUCCUCAGAUGAGGAUUUUAUGCAGCAGUGCUGGCUUAGCCAUAAAACUACAGGAGAGCUUCUCAAAGAGUAAUGUGCACACAAAUCACCUGGGGAUCUUGUCAAACUGCACAGACUCUUUCUGCAAAUCAGGUGUGGAACCCGAGAUCCGGCAUUUCUAACACGCUCCCAGGUGAUGCCAGUGCUGUUGGUCCAGGGCACCCCCAGCCCUUCUGAUGUGCCAUACAACGUAAGGAGAGCAUUCUGGUCAUCAGGCCGACAGCAGCCUCCAAGACCCUUAGGUUGUCUUCUUGACGCCAGCGGCAGCUUUCAUAAGGCAGUGCGGAGAAGUGACAUCUGCUCCUAAAGUUUCUGCAGAAAGGGGGUCUCUCUUCGUACCUAGUUUCAAGGUCUUACAUGUUCAUUAAGUUUAGCCUUCAGCCUCAGAGUAAUCUCACACUUUGCUCAAUACCGUUUUGCAGAUCUGGUGACUGCGAUGUCAGCAUUCUAAAGCCCCUCCCCUAACAGCUGGUUCCACUUCCUGGGCAGUUACGCCAUCAGGCUACGGUUGGGCCAGGUACCAGACGUUCCUCUUGGGAAGACAGGUGUGAUAUCAGGGGACAGGGUGUGACUGGAGGCCUGAACAGAUGUGUCUGCUGUGCCAGGGGAUGGUUUCCCCUGAAGACCCUCUCUGCUAACACACGAGCCUUCCUCCAGCAGUGGGCCCCAGGACACUGUCUGGACCUUGGCUGCCCUCCUGGCUCUUCGGGUGGCUGUCCUGGGAGAAGGCUGAUGUCUGCAGGCUCCAGACACUGCCCGUGCUGCAGGCCUUACAGAUGCCCAGGAACCUCAGCCCUGAGCCAUGUCUCUGUGGAAUGUUCCCCCUUCCCAAUUCUGUCUCCUGUUUUGUCAUUAAAAUAGUGGUAAAGUAGUUAGCGUGAUGGAGCAUUUAUUACACUAGACACGUACAUAACCG
Long non-coding RNA from Equus caballus (horse), 1618 nucleotides. The record is from Ensembl. Lineage: Eukaryota; Metazoa; Chordata; Mammalia; Perissodactyla; Equidae.